GACGAACCGUGCGAACGUUGUUCGGAAUCACUGGGCUUAAAGGGUGCGUAGGCGGGCGAUCAAGUCAGGGGUGAAAUCCUCCAGCUUAACUGGAGAACUGCCUUUGAUACUGGUCAUCUUGAGUGAGGUAGGGGCGUGCGGAACUGAUGGUGGAGCGGUGAAAUGUGUUGAUAUCAUCAGGAACUCCGGUGGCGAAAGCGGCGCGCUGGACCUUUACUGACGCUGAUGCACGAAGGCCAGGGGAGCAAACGGG
Molecule: ribosomal RNA, 253 nt
Filed under: uncultured bacterium
Lineage: Bacteria
Description: partial 16S ribosomal RNA
Rfam family: Bacterial small subunit ribosomal RNA
Source: RNAcentral